This is a long non-coding RNA of Eleginops maclovinus (Patagonian blennie), 409 nucleotides long. RefSeq lists it as uncharacterized. The transcript has 3 exons. The record is from RefSeq and is a predicted model, not a curated record. NCBI's taxonomy places the organism in Eukaryota, Metazoa, Chordata, Actinopteri, Perciformes, Eleginopidae.
CUGCCUUCAUGGUUGUUGGUGCAGUUUGUCCGGUGACUCUUUCUUCCUGUGCACCCCUUUUCACUCUGGAACCAGAGCCCAGAAGAAGACUGCUGCUUUGAGAUGUGGCAGAUGUCCCGCCCUUUAGAAUGUCACUUGUGGAGCACUAGCCAAUAGAAAUGCAAGUGUUACAUAGUGAUGUCACAGAAAUAAACAAAGGAAUCCCAUGGAGGUGUUAUAGGCAGGGAGAAAAAAUCCCUCUGGAGGGAACUUUGGGAUUUUAGCCCGUGCAGACCAUUUACACUUACACAAAUCUGUAUAACACACUAAAAGGUGACCCCAAAAGGCCUAACAGUACCUCUUUAAAGUCAAAUUUGACUUAUAGUUUUCUUGCAAUGGUGGUGACCUAGAUUCAUUUUUUCUCAUGCCU